This 1372-nucleotide ribosomal RNA is filed under the name uncultured bacterium. RNAcentral describes it as "bacterial SSU rRNA". It matches the Rfam family "Bacterial small subunit ribosomal RNA", at positions 28 to 1381 of the family's 1533-position model. The record is from RNAcentral.
GAUGAACGCUGGCGGCGUGCCUAAUACAUGCAAGUCGAGCGAACGGACGAGAAGCUUGCUUCUCUGAUGUUAGCGGCGGACGGGUGAGUAACACGUGGAUAACCUACCUAUAAGACUGGGAUAACUUCGGGAAACCGGAGCUAAUACCGGAUGAUAUUUUGAACCGCAUGGUUCAAAAGUGAAAGACGGUCUUGCUGUCACUUAUAGAUGGAUCCGCGCUGCAUUAGCUAGUUGGUAAGGUAACGGCUUACCAAGGCAACGAUGCAUAGCCGACCUGAGAGGGUGAUCGGCCACACUGGAACUGAGACACGGUCCAGACUCCUACGGGAGGCAGCAGUAGGGAAUCUUCCGCAAUGGGCGAAAGCCUGACGGAGCAACGCCGCGUGAGUGAUGAAGGUCUUCGGAUCGUAAAACUCUGUUAUUAGGGAAGAACAUAUGUGUAAGUAACUGUGCACAUCUUGACGGUACCUAAUCAGAAAGCCACGGGCUACUACGUGCCAGCAGCCGCGGUAAUACGUAGGUGGCAAGCGUUAUCCGGAAUUAUUGGGCGUAAAGCGCGCGUAGGCGGUUUUUUAAGUCUGAUGUGAAAGCCCGCGGCUCAACCGUGGAGGGUCAUUGGAAACUGGAAAACUUGAGUGCAGAAGAGGAAAGUGGAAUUCCAUGUGUAGCGGUGAAAUGCGCAGAGAUAUGGAGGAACACCAGUGGCGAAGGCGACUUUCUGGUCUGUAACUGACGCUGAUGUGCGAAAGCGUGGGGAUCAAACAGGAUUAGAUACCCUGGUAGUCCACGCCGUAAACGAUGAGUGCUAAGUGUUAGGGGGUUUCCGCCCCUUAGUGCUGCAGCUAACGCAUUAAGCACUCCGCCUGGGGAGUACGACCGCAAGGUUGAAACUCAAAGGAAUUGACGGGGACCCGCACAAGUGGUGGAGCAUGUGGUUUAAUUCGAAGCAACGCGAAGAACCUUACCAAAUCUUGACAUCCUUUGACAACUCUAGAGAUAGAGCCUUCCCCUUCGGGGGACAAAGUGACAGGUGGUGCAUGGUUGUCGUCAGCUCGUGUCGUGAGAUGUUGGGUUAAGUCCCGCAACGAGCGCAACCCUUAAGCUUAGUUGCCAUCAUUAAGUUGGGCACUCUAAGUUGACUGCCGGUGACAAACCGGAGGAAGGUGGGGAUGACGUCAAAUCAUCAUGCCCCUUAUGAUUUGGGCUACACACGUGCUACAAUGGACAAUACAAAGGGCAGCGAAACCGCGAGGUCAAGCAAAUCCCAUAAAGUUGUUCUCAGUUCGGAUUGUAGUCUGCAACUCGACUACAUGAAGCUGGAAUCGCUAGUAAUCGUAGAUCAGCAUGCUACGGUGAAUACGUUCCCGGGUCU